This 325-nucleotide long non-coding RNA is filed under the name Gossypium barbadense (sea-island cotton). Its description in RNAcentral is "long non-coding RNA (GBAR_LNC005108)". The record is from RNAcentral. Lineage: Eukaryota; Viridiplantae; Streptophyta; Magnoliopsida; Malvales; Malvaceae.
AAUGAUUAAACCCCUAGCUCUAAUCAGUAGGCUUAUUAAUAUAUGUUGGUAAAAUAUGUCAGAAUGGACUUGCUGGUCUGGUGGUUUAGUGGAGUGUUUGGUGUUGGAAGUCUUAAGUUCGAAUCCUAACUAUGGAAUAAGUAAUAUUUUUUGCUCUAAAUUUCAGCUAGAGUUGCGUUGAUAUGGGGAAUUAAGUGGUGGUAUGUUAGUAGGGUUAGUGGGAGGGAAGUUAGAGAGUUAUCAGAUUUUCUGAACAGUUCUAUUUUCAAAAAGUUUUGGCUUUCCUUUUUUCUCAAAAUUCUCUGCAGUUUCUUUACCCUAUUCC